CAGGUGAGAUGUAAGGGUACAUCUGCACUGAACGUGACCGACUCCGGAGCUAUUUCUGUUGUCAAGAUUUACUCCGAUAGAAUAUGGGUAUAAAUGUCCCUCCGAUCUGAGACCGCCAUGGUGACUUGCAAGCAACUCACUGCACUUAGGCACUGGACUACCUAAAUUUUUAAUUCAAUGAUGGAAGGCUGCUGGGUGUAGUCAAGUACUUGACUUGUCGGUGCAUGUGUUAAGAUGGGAUUGACCACUCCAGUUCAGGAGUUGUGUACAGUCGUGUUUCAAUUUAGCAAAACCUUGGCCAGGGUAGUCUUUGUGAGGAGUCACAGGACUGUUUGAGUUGAGCACGAUUCGGAUGAUCUAAUCAGGGUUGACAGUUUAACCCUGAGUCAUCCUAAACACAGGGGUCAAAAGGAUGAAUUAUACAGUAACCAUAUUCAUGUAGGUUUUGAGUGCUGUGAUUGCGACUCUUCGACCUAUCCGGACUCGGGUACCAUUGCUAGAUGAUCACUUCGAUUAGUACAGGAAUUGGUUCCUGUGCUAUCGACUUAGGUUCGAACCUGUGGGGUCACACACAUUAGAGGUUCCUAUCUGAUCUAAUGGCUGGUGUAGAAUCCUUUAUGUUUGAGACUCAGUGAUCGAGAAUCAAAAUUCUCUGAUCAUGAGUUCCACACAUUAUGGGUACCGGGGUCAAGAGUCCCACUGGUUGGGACUUUUCGAUCAGGGUUACAUAUCG
This 733-nucleotide long non-coding RNA is filed under the name Elaeis guineensis (African oil palm). RNAcentral describes it as "long non-coding RNA (EGUI_LNC067449)". Lineage: Eukaryota; Viridiplantae; Streptophyta; Magnoliopsida; Arecales; Arecaceae. The record is from RNAcentral.